RNAcentral lists this ribosomal RNA (498 nucleotides) under Triticum aestivum (bread wheat). RNAcentral's name for it is "partial small subunit ribosomal RNA". The record is from RNAcentral. Lineage: Eukaryota; Viridiplantae; Streptophyta; Magnoliopsida; Poales; Poaceae.
AUGAAUUUUCAGUUUCUAAUAUGUAGUGUUGUUAUUUCGGAGAUUUUCUAUUGUGUUUCAGUUGGGCACUUCUCCACGCUUGUUCCUCACUCUACAACGGCGUGUGACAUAGUGUAUCGUAGCAAAAACUAUGUUUAUGAUUGUCUGAACUCUGUUUGCUUAAGAGAUUUGCUUACACAGUACUUAAGUGGCGCGGGGGGCAUACCGCAGGGCAGUAUAAAGUGUACACAACGAGUAGCUGCUUUAGUGCCUACCACCAUUGUUGUCGAUUCAAAAAGAAUAGCAUUUUGCAUCUGCAUCCGAUGCGGUGGUGUUGCUGAAUCCGCCAGGAGUGGCACAGCCGGCGGAUUCAAGUCAUCUGCCUCUUCAUCCGUGGACUCUGCGCCGAAUGCAUGGAGACACAGCUGGCUGCAGUCAUCUGCCUCUUCAUCCGACUCUGCGCCGAACGCAUGGAGACACAGCUGCCGGCUCAAGUCGACGGAGUCAUGGGAGAGGUAA